AGAAAGCCUGAGGUUGGGACCAGGAAACCCCCAGCACCUCCAUUGCUGGCUGAUUGAGAGGACCAGUCGGCUGAAGGGAGGCUGAGGAAGGGUGGUGUCACUAGGUCACUAGUUUGUCACAGGGUGACACAGCCACACACACGGAGACCGAGGUCCCCAGAGGGGCCUGUUUGAGCCCUAGCUCGCUGUUCUGCCCCAGUGAGAAUGACUGGGGGACUUGCUUUCUCUGUUCCCCGCACUGGGAACAGAAAUAGAACCGGGAAGGGUUUGCCAGUGUUUUGGGUGCUGAGUCCCUGAGGGGGUUGGGGCCUGCUAACGAGGGUCUGGCAGUCACAGUGCUGGCAUCCGAAUGUGUGCAUCCCUGGGAGGUAGCCAGGUGCGGCAGAAUGUCACUGGGUGUCGCUAGAGAUGCUACACAGGAAGGACAGCCACUUGCCCACAGUCCCCUGGCACUGACCUUCAGAGCUGAGACCAGAACCCCAGCCUCGCUUUCACCUGGGACUCCUCCAGCAGCUGGACUGAGAGCCACCCUGGUGAAGCCUCUGUCUUAGCACAUGGUGGUAUUUAGUGCUUCCCAUAUUAAGAUGAGCCAGGACUGUGAGGGGGUCGAAAAGACAGAUAGUACAGAAUGUGGCAUGGUCACCAGAGGUAGCUUCAGAAUCUCAAUGGAACCACCACACAACUGCUUGCUGUCUGAACCCAGAGAGUGAGUCUCCUGUCACCAGAGGAAUUGAGACCCAGAGUGGCAGUGGGAGCCUGAGGCCUGGGCCAGUCUGGAAGACCGUUUCUCCUCUGGGAAGUCAUAGGCCCUUGUGAGGAGGAUGGGGUGGGGCUCCAGCCCGUCUCCCUGUCAGAGGCCUCUCUGGCCACGCAGCCCCCAGCCACAGCAGAACAUCCCGGCUAGCCCGCCUCCCAUGGAUGGCCCCGUGCUGUCUCCACAGCCAAGUGGGCCUCCUUCUUUCCCCAGCUCCGCCCUGAGUGCCCGAGCAGGGGCAUGUCCAGUUACGAGGCAUUUGUUGACUGGCUGGGGUGGGGAGUGGCGGCCUCCCCACCCCCUUCUCUCUCCUGCGUGGGCCCUGGGAGCAGGCACGGGCCCCCAACAGUUCUCUGGCAUCUGGGAGGCUGGCGGGAACUGCCAUGAGCUGCUCUGACCGCCUUCAAGGGCACUGCCAGGAAUAGAUGCGGCCACCCUGCCGCCUGCGUGGGUCUGGCAGCCUCAGAGUGCCCUUUCUCCAGACUCUGCGCACUUCCCAGGGAGCGUCAUCCCCGACUGCCUGCUUCCUUACGAGUGAAAGCUCAGCUUGGUGCCUGCUCCCAGCUCUUCAGAAAGUGUCGAGCCACUUUUUCCCAACACAGCCCAGCAGAUGCUACCCCACCCACCUCUCAGCCAACAAGCUGCAGCCACUGGCCAGUCAACCAGACGCGGAGCCAGCUGAUUCCUUGAUGCCCGCCUGGUGCAGCCUAAAAAGCAGCCCCCGAAGGGUCUGUCCAAACAGGAGCCCUUAGUGACAGAGUUGUUCGCCUUUGAUUGGCAGCCAAGAAACAAUGUCAGGAAGGUAAGGUGUCUCGCUUAGAGCCACAGCUUGCCAAGGGCAGAAGCGAGCCACCAAGCCACAGCUGCCGGCCCCAGCCAGUAGCGUGGGGUCCACUGUGGAGAGAUGGCUCUGGAGGCGGAGGAGUGGGGCUCAAGGGAGAAGGGGGUACCUGAAUCCUUUUAGGUGUUUGGCAUUCAGACAAGAAGAGGAAGGAUGUCAUCCAAGACGUGGGGAACAACGGGUUACCUCUGAGUGCCAGUGAGUGGACCAGUGUGGUCCAGAAAGUCUGCUCAUGGGAGCAGAGAAAGGGAAUGUGACCGCAUGGACCCCAGGGAAAGGGGCACUGAAGGCACUGGGCACUCUGCCAGGAGGCUGGCUGCACGGCUCCCGGUGGGUGGGAGACUCUCUGCCACCCGUUCCUUCAUUCUUAUAGGAUUCACUGUAUGGCCCUUUGGCACUUACGACAGGUCCUAUGCCAGGACCUGGGGACGGAGCACCAAAAAGGUCCCUGCCCUCAUGACACACACAGUCUAGCGGAGGGAGACCAUCAAUAAAAACAACAAGUCAAGAUGGGAUAGAUUGGGAGGUGAUGGAAACAGCGAAGCCGACUAAGGGGGAGAGGAUGCUGGCCCUGGGUUCAAGGGACAGCUAUUUGAUAUAGAAUGGCUAGGGAAAGCCUCUCUGAUAAGGUGACAUUUGAGAAGAAUCCUGAAGGAAAUGAGGGAAUGAACCAAGUAAGCAUGUGGAAGAAGAGUCUUCCAGGCAGACAGAUAGCCGGUGCAAAGGCCCCGAGGCAGACGUGUGCUGAGCCAGCUGGAGGAAGAGCCAUCUACAACCUGUGGAACGAAGGAGGCUACAAGAGUAUCUCAGCUCACCUCCUAAGACCAAGCUGUUCAAAUAGCCCAUUCUGCAUGCACGGCCCUAUUCCUGUGUCUCACGAAGAGCUAGUGGGAUUCCUUCUCUCGGCUAGGCGAGACAGCUGAGACACCUUUGCUGAAAGGAGAUACAAAGACGGACUUUGGAAUCUGUGAGUCAGCCAGGAGAGAACAGACGGGGCCCUGAAUUCUUCACCUCAAGGUGCCUCCCUAAUUUAACGUGUGGCUCUUUUCUUUGCCUGCUACCCCCUGCCCACUGUUCCUCCUUCCACAUGCAGGCCCUGAACACAGCCUGCUCCAGCUAGUGAGAACUGAAGCCCCCGCCUGGGAGGGGAGUCCCGAGGGGCACCAGGGCUUCCUGGAGGAGGAGCCCAAGGAGUGUAGACCUUUGGUGUGGUCAGAGCAGGGCAAGAGAGAAGCAAAGGCUGAGAGGCUGCCGUGAGCAUGUGCGUGUGCAUGCAUGUGUGUAUGUGUAUGUGUACAUGUGUACGUGUGCGUCUGAGAGGCCCCACUGCGGUGGGGAAAAGAUUCGUGUAUGGGAAAAGUGGAGAAGGGUGGUGAGGUUCUGGCCUUGUACCUGUUCCCCUCUCCUUUAGGACCUGAGUUUGUUCUUUUUCCCUCUUUGUGUUUGUGUCUGUUUUUCUGCCUGAGUCUAUCAGUGCCUCUGCGUGUCUGUGGGAAUGUCUCUGUCUGUGUCUGUGGUUCUCAGGCUCUCAGUUUCCCCUCUGCGUGUGCCUGUCUGUUCGGCUGGGUCUCUUUUGGUCUCCCUCCCCCUCUCCUCCCUGCCCCCUCUCCUCUUUCUCUCAGAACAGGAAGAGGCCUGCAAAGGACUGCCAUUUCCCCCCUCCGCCUCCCCACCCCGUUCCCUCCCCAGGUUUUUUCUCUCCUCCUUAUUCAAGGCAGAUAAAGUGCGCACAGCUGCUCCCAGCUGAAACGGGCCUUAAUUGCACCCCCGUUGCCAUGGCGAUCCCUGAUGAUCUCCGUGGCUGGAAUGUCGCCCUCCCGAUCUCCCUGCUGGGGCCUCCGGGCUGCACAGCUUCGCUGGCCCCGGAGCUGACCCCGUGCGGCACCCU
Molecule: long non-coding RNA, 3483 nt
Organism: Felis catus (domestic cat)
Lineage: Eukaryota; Metazoa; Chordata; Mammalia; Carnivora; Felidae
Exons: 3
Source: RefSeq, a predicted model, not a curated record